This is an RNA transcript of Hibiscus syriacus, 3225 nucleotides long. It is a transcript of the gene named disease resistance protein RPM1-like, with no coding region annotated. Lineage: Eukaryota; Viridiplantae; Streptophyta; Magnoliopsida; Malvales; Malvaceae. The transcript has 4 exons. The record is from RefSeq and is a predicted model, not a curated record.
CUAUAAUUAGUCGUCUUCUUCUUUCCUUCCCAGCCAACCCUAACCAACCACAGGUUUGAAUUCAAGCAGUCCAAGUCUGAAUGCUUUAAGAUAAUUUAAAGAUCAUCUGAUAACCGUCAAGCCUUUAUCUCUAGAAUUGGAAAGAAUGGAGUUAUCAAGCUCUCUAGAUCUGUUAACGGGCAAGCUCGUCUCCGUUUUAGAAAAGGAAGCUUCCUUGCUGACAGAGGUUGGAGCUGAAAUCGAUGAAAUCAAGCUUGAGCUCAAGGCCAUUACAGCUUUCCUUGAGGAUGUUGACACGAGCCUAGGAGUAGUACCCAUCUCUGAAACCGAUAAACAAUGGGUCGCAAGCGUCAGAGACAUUACCUAUGAAGUUGAAGACGUGGUCGACGAAUUCAUGUUCCACUUCAACAAGCAACAACAAUGGAGGGGUAAACCCACCAAGUUUUUCUUGAAGCUUAUUCAUUUUCCCAAGACUUUAUUGUUCAGGCAUCAAAUAGCUGUCCAGUUACAAGAUAUCAACAAAAGAAUCAAAAGCAUUGCAGAGAGAAACCAACGAUAUCCGAUUUCUCGAUCAGAAUCAAGAAAAUCUGAUAAGCAAAUCCGAAGAGAAUAUCACCGUAACAACUGGGUGAAGAAUCUGAGUGAAUCUACUCUCUUUUUUAAAGAUGUCGAUCUUGUUGGAAUCGACAAGGCACAAAAUGAGUUACUGGGAUGGCUGUUGGAUGAAGAGCUUCAAAGGACCGUGAUUUCUGUGGUUGGGAUGGGCGGUCUAGGUAAAACAACUCUCGUCGCCAACACUUUCAACAAACAAGUUGUCAAGCAACAUUUCGAUUGUUGUGCCUGGAUCACUGUUUCACAACAAUAUAUUGUAACAGAACUAUUCAAAUGCAUCAUCAAAGAGCUCUACGGCAAGGCAAAAGAAAAGAUGGAUCCGGUGAUCAACCUAGACUCCAUGAGUUAUCGAGAUUUGGUGGAGGCACUGGUGAACUUCUUGCAGCCAAGGAGGUAUCUAAUUGUGGUUGAUGAUGUUUGGAGCACUAAUUUAUGGCAAGAUAUCAGCAUAGCACUUCCUGCCAAUAUGAAUGGAAGCCGGAUCUUGCUUACCACACGGAAGGACGACGUUGCUUCCUUUGAAUUUGGAGUUGUAAAACACAUCUUUCCUCUUAAACACUUACCGUUUGAAGAGAGCAUGACUCUUUUUUUCAAGAAAUCUUUUGUUGGCAAAGGUGGACAAUGCCCACCAUAUCUUGAACCUUCAGCAAGAAAGCUGGUUGCAAAAUGUCAAGGCUUGCCAUUAGCUAUUGUGGCCUUGGGCGGUUUGAUGGCUUCCAAGAGCUCGAUUGCCGAAUGGAAUGGAGUUUAUGACAACUUAAAUCAGGAGCUAAGCGAAAAUGAUACAUAUUUUGAAAGGCUCAAGUAUAUUUCAUUGCUUAGCUACCAUGAUUUGUCUUACACACUUAAACAAUGUUUCUUAUAUUGUUGCAUAUUCCCAGAAGGUUAUAAGAUUAGACGUAAAAGGCUCAUUAGACUUUGGAUGGCUGAAGGCUUUGUUGAACCGCUAAAAGAAACACUUCCAGAAGUAGUUGCGGAGAGAUAUCUAUCCGAGUUGAUAUGCAGAGGCUUGCUUCAAGUUGAGAAGAGGAAUAAAUCUGGGAGGCCCAGGGCAUUUAAGAUGCAUGACAUUUUGCGGGAGUUUGCUGUUUCCAUAUCAAAAUCCAUAAAGUUUGUUGCCAAAUCUGAUGGGAAAGAAGAAGUGGAAGACGAUGGAAUCCGUCGUUGGUCUAUUGAAGCAAAGGAGAAUGAAAUGAAAGCUGCACGCAAGACUGCACUAUCUCGGGUUCGUUCAUUAUUUGUUUUUGCUGUUGAAGAAACCUCUAAAUCGUCCUUCAAUAGACUGCCCUCUGGUUUUAAAUUGAUGAGAGUGUUGGAUUUGGAAGACAUUCCAAUCGAGGAACUCCCAGACGAAUUGAUGAAUUUAUUCAAUUUGAGAUAUCUUAACCUAAAAGGGACUCAAGCGAAAAAGCUUCCGAAAUCCAUCGGCAAGCUUUACAACUUACAGUUUCUACUUAUGAAGCGGACUCAAAUCAAAGAGCUUCCAGCAGGAAUUGUGAAGUUGAAAAAUCUUCGAUUCCUUAUUGCUUUUGGUUUCAAUGUAAACCGAAUGGCAUUUGAUUGUAAGUUUGGCCCAGUAGUUCCAUCCAACAUUUGUUUGCUAAGCAACUUACAUGUUUUGAGCUUUGUGGACGCAAGAGGCGAUUUCAUCAAACAACUCAGCAAGAUGGUACAAUUGAGAAGACUUGGCGUUACCAAUGUGAAGGAAGCUGAUGAGAAAUAUUUAUGCUCAGCCAUUGCAAAAAUGACACAUCUUCAAUCCUUAAAGGUGAAAUCAUGUAACGAAGAUGAGCAAGUGAAGAUGGACGCUCUUGAAUCCGCUCCCCCUGACCUUCGGAAACUUGCGUUAGUCGGGAAACUGGAGAAGGUACCACACUGGUUUAACUCACUCGACAACCUCACAAGUUUGGUAUUAAAUUGGUCUAGAUUGAGGGAUGAUUUUCUCCCUCACAUCCAAGCAUUGCCUAAUCUUGUACAACUCAAACUACUAAAUUUAUACGAGGGAGAGCGAUUAGACUUCCUUGAAGGAUUCCAAAAGCUUAAGGUUUUAAAAAUUGGGAGAUGCCCUCGAUUGAAAGAAAUUUUGAUCAACAGAGGAGUGAUGCCUGGUCUUCAAGAGUUGUUCAUUGCCGCAUGCCAGGAGUUGACGACAUUGCCGGAUGAUUGGGAAAGUCUACCUGAUCUAAACGAAGUUUAUUUGUCUGAGGUCUCGCCUGAGCUUAUUCAGAAAAUAUGCAGAUCAAAAGGGAUGAAUCAACAAACAAUCAGAUCCAUCCAGUUAAGUAGGGAAGAAGGCAUUGAAGCCAUAUUCAAAAUAACGAGAUGGUUUGAAUAAUCCUUCCAGACGAUAUUGCGAGCACAACAUGAUUGAUGAUUCCAGAGUCUUUGUUCAGGCCCAAUGAAAAGUUACAACCCAUCAGGUCUAACAGUGGCUCGUUUUCAGGCCCCAUGACCCGAUAGAAACCCUCGUCCAGCCGUUUCUCCAAGCACCCGAGGACCCCUUAUGCUUCACGUUUCUCACGGCGCCGCAAUGCCCGCAACCAACACGCCUCAACCUCCCAGAGAGUUAUAAAUGUGAUAUAAAUCGAACGAAAUGGGAGAGGAUUUUUCAUA